ACGGGUGAGUAAUAUAUCGGAACGUGCCCAAUCGUGGGGGAUAACGUAGAGAAAUUUACGCUAAUACCGCAUACGAUCUAAGGAUGAAAGCGGGGGAUCGCAAGACCUCGCGCGAUUGGAGCGGCUGAUAUCAGAUUAGGUUGUUGGUGAGGUAAAAGCUCACCAAGCCGACGAUCUGUAGCUGGUUUGAGAGAACGACCAGCCACACUGGGACUGAGACACGGCCCAGACUCCUACGGGAGGCAGCAGUGGGGAAUUUUGGACAAUGGGCGAAAGCCUGGUCCAGCAAUGCCGCGUGCAGGAAGAAGGCCUUCGGGUUGUAAACUGCUUUUGUACGGAACGAAACGGCUCUUUCUAAUAAAGAGGGCUAAUGACGGUACCGUAAGAAUAAGCACCGGCUAACUACGUGCCAGCAGCCGCGGUAAUACGUAGGGUGCGAGCGUUAAUCGGAAUUACUGGGCGUAAAGCGUGCGCAGGCGGUUAUGUAAGACAGUUGUGAAAUCCCCGGGCUCAACCUGGGAAUUGCAUCUGUGACUGCAUAGCUAGAGUACGGUAGAGGGGGAUGGAAUUCCGCGUGUAGCAGUG
This 585-nucleotide ribosomal RNA is filed under the name uncultured Polaromonas sp. Its description in RNAcentral is "bacterial SSU rRNA". It matches the Rfam family "Bacterial small subunit ribosomal RNA", at positions 102 to 683 of the family's 1533-position model. Lineage: Bacteria; Pseudomonadati; Pseudomonadota; Betaproteobacteria; Burkholderiales; Comamonadaceae. The record is from RNAcentral.